This 1901-nucleotide long non-coding RNA is filed under the name Olea europaea (common olive). RNAcentral's name for it is "long non-coding RNA (OEUR_LNC000813)". Lineage: Eukaryota; Viridiplantae; Streptophyta; Magnoliopsida; Lamiales; Oleaceae. The record is from RNAcentral.
UUUGGUUACAAUGCUGCAACUGGAAAAUACGAGGAUCUAAUGGCUGCCGGCAUAAUUGAUCCCACAAAGGCAAGUUCCUUUACUGCUUCAUUUUGUUUCUAGACGUUAGAGCAGUAGGAAUAUUGAUUAGUAUGGACCUAUUAAGUUAUUUAUUAUUUAGCACGUUAAGCCUGUUGCUUAAGAAACAUAAAAUCACGUUUGGAAGCAGGUUGUAAGAUGUUGCCUGGAGCAUGCAGCAUCCGUGGCAAGGACAUUCCUCACAUCUGAUGCUGUAGUAGUCGACAUCAAGGAACCUGAACCCAUACCUGCUGGAAAUCCCAUGGGCAAUUCAGGUAGUUACCAUUUCUUAUUGUCCAAACUUCUCAAGAAUAAAUCUAAAUUUGUACUAAAUGAUUUCCAAUUAUUGCUUUGAUCAGGUUAUGGUUACUAGUUGCUGCAGCAUCUGUGGGAAUUGAAACAGUUGGAUGAUAAAAUCCCACAAUGUCUUUUUCACCGGCUUGAUUUAAUUUAUGUUUCGAGGGGUCAUAAAAAAUGUUGGCAGUUUUCAGUAUUGGGAAUGCUUAGUUGAUUUUGAAUAGAAUCCUGAGAUGUCGUAGCCUUCGUAUUUUUCUUGCAGUAGUUGUCGUCACUGGCAAAAUCUAGCUAGUGGUACGAUAAGAGCAAAGGUGCGGGGCGAAUAAUUUUAUUGUCUCUGUAUUUCUGUAUCUGUAAGUUGCACUGGAAAAUGAUUGUUGUCAAUAAAUGGGAAUAAUUUGCUUGAGAAGAGAGUAUAUAUUGCUACUUGUCCAGUUAAUGGCAUUACUUGCGAACAAAUUUUGAUUUUUAAACUUGAAGUUAAAAAGUGACUAUGAACACCUUUUAAGCUUAGCCAAACAUGCCUAUCUACAUUAUUAAAAAUGUCAGCAUCAUUGCUCCCGGAUCUAGAACAAGAUCAAUAAGCUAAAAUCUGUAAAGCAAUGAUUCUAUUUGACGUAGGUUUGUAUUUGAACAGUUAUGGUGUUUGCAUCACAUGCAUAGGAGCUGUUCUUGAUCAUCGGUGUACACUCCGCUUCGACGCUUUAAAGAUACGAUACAACCAUACCAGUCUUUUUCAUUCAACAAUAAAAGUGGAUAAGAAUCGAUGUCGAAAUGAUCAUGUUUAAAAAAUUGAUUCAAAUGAUUCAGCACAUUGAAAUGAAAGUGAAAAACUAUGGGAUACCAACUGGAUUUUUGCUGUUGCGGGUGGUGGGAGCAAAAACCUAAGAUUCUGAGCUUAAGGCGUGUAAUAUUUUAUUCAGAUAUGGUUUGUUUAUCCCUCUACCUGCCUCGUUACCUUCGCGUCAAACUUUUUUAUGUUGAUGCCAUAAAGGAUACUUUAGAUAACGACGAGCAGAAGGUAAUGCGGGCUCAUAUUUUCUUGGUCUAGACUAUAUCCAAGGAAGAUGCAAUGCUUGAUUGUGUAAUUGCUAAAUAAGGAUUGAUUAUUUGAAUGGCUGCAGGUUGGAGCAGAUAUUGUUAAGAGAGCAUUGAGUUAUCCAAUGAAGUUAAUUGCUAAGAAUGCAGGGGUGAAUGGAAGUGUUGUUAUAGAGAAGGUAAGGCUUGACUCAGAUGCUCUUGUGGCAUGUUCAGAAUUAUCUUUUUGCGAGUUUUUAUCUGAAUCAUGUUGAUUGACAUCUGCUCUUUGUUUAGGUGUUGGCAAAUGAUAAUUCCAAGUUUGGUUACAAUGCUGCAACUGGAAAAUACGAGGAUCUAAUGGCUGCCGGCAUAAUUGAUCCCACAAAGGCAAGUUCCUUUACUGCUUCAUUUUGUUUCUAGACGUUAGAGCAGUAGGAAUAUUGAUUAGUAUGGACCUAUUAAGUUAUUUAUUAUUUAGCACGUUAAGCCUGUUGCUUAAGAAACAUAAAAUCACGUUUGGAAGCAGG